Non-coding RNA from Vicia faba (fava bean), 189 nucleotides. NCBI's taxonomy places the organism in Eukaryota, Viridiplantae, Streptophyta, Magnoliopsida, Fabales, Fabaceae. The record is from the annotation of a GenBank genome assembly.
AUGCCACGGAUCUCGAUCCCAUUACCCUUUCCUCAGAGAUAUUCAACCGUAGAUAGCCACUCUAAUCAACGAUCACCAUCUCUUCCGUUUUUCUAUUUUCCUUUUCCAAUUCCCGCUCGCUCCUCAUUUCUCCUCCAAUAUAUAUUACCCAAACACCAACGUCCUUCUCAUCAAUCACAACUCAAUUAA